RNAcentral lists this ribosomal RNA (440 nucleotides) under uncultured bacterium. RNAcentral describes it as "bacterial SSU rRNA". It matches the Rfam family "Bacterial small subunit ribosomal RNA", at positions 958 to 1398 of the family's 1533-position model. The record is from RNAcentral.
AACGCGAAGAACCUUACCCAGGUUUGACAUGCAGUAGACAGGGCCAGAAAUGGCUUCUUCCUUCGGGACUGCUGCACAGGUGCUGCAUGGCUGUCGUCAGCUCGUGCCGUGAGGUGUUGGGUUAAGUCCCGCAACGAGCGCAACCCUUAUCACUAGUUGCCAGCACGUAAUGGUGGGAACUCUAGUGAGACUGCCCGGGUUAACCGGGAGGAAGGUGAGGAUGACGUCAAGUCCGCAUGGCCCUUAUGUCUGGGGCUACACACGUGCUACAAUGGCCGGUACAAUAGGCAGCCAAACCGCGAGGUGGAGCAAAUCCCUAAAACCGGUCCCAGUUCGGAUUGUAGUCUGCAACUCGACUACAUGAAGUUGGAAUUGCUAGUAAUGGCGAGUCAGCUACAUCGCCGUGAAUACGUUCCCGGGCCUUGUACACACCGAGUAUA